UACGUAGGGAGCAAGCGUUGUCCGGAAUCAUUGGGCGUAAAGCGCGCGUAGGCGGCCCUGUAAGUCCGCUGUGAAAGUCAAAGGCUCAACCUUUGAAAGCCGGUGGAUACUGCAGGGCUAGAGUCCGGAAGAGGCGAGUGGAAUUCCUGGUGUAGCGGUGAAAUGCGCAGAUAUCGGGAGGAACACCGGUGGCGAAGGCGGUUCUCUGGGCCUUACCUGACGCUGAGGAGCGAAAGCGUGGGGAGCGAACAGG
This 253-nucleotide ribosomal RNA is filed under the name uncultured bacterium. Its description in RNAcentral is "partial 16S ribosomal RNA". It matches the Rfam family "Bacterial small subunit ribosomal RNA", at positions 524 to 776 of the family's 1533-position model. The record is from RNAcentral.